CUCCGGUUGAUCCCGCCGGACCUGACUGCUAUCGGAUUGGUACUAAGCCAUGCGAGUCAUUGUAGCAAUACAAGGCGGACGGCUCAGUAACACGUAGUCAACCUAACUCGUGGACGUGGAUAACCUCGGGAAACUGAGAAUAAACCACGAUAGAUCAUAGUGCCUGGAAUGGCUUAUGGUCCAAACAGUUUACUGCCAUGGGAUGGGACUGCGGCCUAUCAGCUUGUUGGUGAGGUAAUGGCCCACCAAGGCGAUUACAGGUACGGGCUCUGAGAGGAGAAGCCCGGAGAUGGGUACUGAGACACGGACCCAGGCCCUAUGGGGCGCAGCAGGCGAGAAACCUUAGCAAUGUGCGAAAGCACGACUGGGUCAGUCCGAGUGAUUCCUGAUAAAGGAGUCUUUUGCUUGUCCUAAAAGCACAGGUGAAUAAGGGGUGGGCAAGUCUGGUGUCAGCCGCCGCGGUAAUACCAGCACCUCGAGUGGUCAGGACGUUUAUUGGGCCUAAAGCAUCCGUAGCCGGCUUUGCAAGUCUUCGGUUAAAUCCACCUGCUCAACAGAUGGGCUGCUGGAGAUACUACAAAGCUAGGGAGUGGGAGAGGCAGACGGUAUUCAGUGGGUAGGGGUAAAAUCCUCUGAUCCAUUGAGGACCACCAGUGGCGAAGGCGGUCUGCCAGAACACGUUCGACGGUGAGGGAUGAAAGCUGGGGGAGCAAACCGGAUUAGAUACCCGGGUAGUCCCAGCUGUAAACGAUGCAAACUCGGUGAUGCAUUGGCUUAUGGCCAAUGCAGUGCCGCAGGGAAGCCGUUAAGUUUGCCGCCUGGGAAGUACGGACGCAAGUCUGAAACUUAAAGGAUUUGGCGGGGGAGCA
This 869-nucleotide ribosomal RNA is filed under the name uncultured archaeon. RNAcentral's name for it is "bacterial SSU rRNA". It matches the Rfam family "Archaeal small subunit ribosomal RNA", at positions 1 to 878 of the family's 1478-position model. The record is from RNAcentral.